UAACUGUUUGCACAUUACAUGAGAAGGUGGUUUUCCGUACACGCCCCGAGGCUUUACCGACGUGACUAUUCAGUUGUAUAUAAAUAAUUAUGCUGAUUACAUAACAAACCUAUCACCAAACUCAUCUUCUGUCGAUGUUUUUUGAAGGAUGUCAAAUACCUUCAUCAGCACAACGAUGUUACUCUCAAAAACAGACAUUAUUUUUGCAGAACCAUUGAAAUCGAUACUUAAAAAAAAAGAAACGUGAUUAAAGAUGUCGAUGUAAACUGUGAAGGUUACAUUUCACGGUUGAAGUUCGGAAUUUACUGUUGUGAUAGCAAGUGAUAGAAAAGUAUUCAUGCAAUGGCUGAUGUCUGGCGACAUACCAUAAGGGGCAAAAAGACAAUACAGACUACAAUUCUGUGUGGUGAAGAAGUUUCAAUAGCGAGAUUUAGAGCAUUAAGUCAGCUUUCGGUUAUCUUAUUACUCAAUAAAGGCUUCAAAAGUAUUAUGGUUAUGUCGAUUAUGUAACUUUGAAAUAUGAUUGCUCCUGCCACUUUUUGAAUGAAAAAAACAUGGAUACGUCUUCUAAGA
This is a long non-coding RNA of Papaver somniferum (opium poppy), 573 nucleotides long. RefSeq lists it as uncharacterized. The record is from RefSeq and is a predicted model, not a curated record. NCBI's taxonomy places the organism in Eukaryota, Viridiplantae, Streptophyta, Magnoliopsida, Ranunculales, Papaveraceae. The transcript is spliced from 3 exons.